RNAcentral lists this ribosomal RNA (447 nucleotides) under uncultured bacterium. RNAcentral's name for it is "partial 16S ribosomal RNA". It matches the Rfam family "Bacterial small subunit ribosomal RNA", at positions 329 to 792 of the family's 1533-position model. The record is from RNAcentral.
CUCCAGACUCCUACGGGAGGCAGCAGUGGGGGAUAUUGCACAAUGGGGGGAACCCUGAUGCAGCGACGCCGCGUGGGUGAAGGAGCGUUUCGGCGCGUAAAGCCCUAUCGGCAGGGAAGAAGGAGGACGGUACCUGACUAAGAAGCCCCGGCUAACUACGUGCCAGCAGCCGCGGGAAUACGUAGGGGGCAAGCGUUAUCCGGAUUUACUGGGUGUAAAGGGAGCGUAGACGGCAGUGCAAGUCCGGAGUGAAAGCCCGGGGCUCAACCCUGGGACUGCUCUGGAAACUGUAAAGCUGGAGUGCGGGAGGGGCAGGCGGAAUUCCUGGUGUAGCGGUGAAAUGCGUAGAUAUUAGGAGGAACACCGGCGGCGAAGGCGGCCUGCUGGACUGCAACUGACGUUGAGGCCCGAAAGCGUGGGGAGCAAACAGGAUUAGAUACCCUUGUA